AGAGUUUGAUCAUGGCUCAGGACGAACGCUGGCGGCGCGCUUAACACAUGCAAGUCGAACGCUGCUCGUUGCCUUCGGGUGAUGAGCGGAGUGGCGAACGGGUGCGUAACACGUGAGUGACCUGCCCCUGUGCGGGGGAUAACCCGGGGAAACCCGAGCUAAUACCGCAUGGAGUCCAUUUUCUGUAAGGGAGAUGGAUGAAAGGCGCUGUGCCUUCGGGCGUGGCGUUGUGCAGGGAGGGGCUCGCGGCGUAUCAGCUGGUUGGUGAGGUAACGGCUCACCAAGGCGAUGACGCGUAGGGGGUCUGAGAGGAUGGCCCCCCACAUUGGGACUGAGAUACGGCCCAGACUCCUACGGGAGGCAGCAGUGGGGAAUCUUGCGCAAUGGGCGAAAGCCUGACGCAGCGACGCCGCGUGCGGGAGGACGCUUUUCGGAGUGUAAACCGCUGUCAGGGGGGAAGAAAGUCAGGAGCAGGCAAUGGCUUCUGUUUGACGGUACCCCCAGAGGAAGCACCGGCUAACUCUGUGCCAGCAGCCGCGGUAAUACAGAGGGUGCAAGCGUUGUUCGGAAUUACUGGGCGUAAAGGGCGCGUAGGCGGCCUGUUAAGUCCUGCUGUGAAAUGCCGGGGCUCAACCCCGAGCGCUGCAGGGGAUACUGGCGGGCUGGAGACAUGUAGAGGCAAGCGGAAUUCCGGGUGUAGCGGUGGAAUGCGUAGAGAUCCGGAAGAACACCGGAGGCGAAGGCGGCUUGCUGGGCAUGAUCUGACGCUGAGGCGCGAAAGCGUGGGGGAGCGAAACAGGGAUUAGAUUACCCUUGGGUUAAGUCCAACCGGCCGGUAAAACGAAUUGGGGCACUAAGACGGCUUGGGCGGAUUCGAA
Molecule: ribosomal RNA, 878 nt
Filed under: uncultured bacterium
Lineage: Bacteria
Description: bacterial SSU rRNA
Rfam family: Bacterial small subunit ribosomal RNA
Source: RNAcentral